UUCAUCGACUCUAUGGAUAACCGUUUGGCAUUAGUUAGUAUACGGACGCCUAUGUUGUACAUCCGGAUGUACUUUGUGCAUGAAGUCAACCCAGGCAGAUAUGGGGUGCGAGGACCACACCUGCAUGAAAAGCCAUUGGAACAAUGAGUCUGUGAGCCGAAUGAAACAAGAUUAUUCGCCCUCCGAUUCCCUCUCCCUGAAGAGUGGUCAAGAAGGCAGUAAAUAUUUAUGGGAGGCGCAUUGGCAUUACGAAUCCUGGUGAUGCUAAUCUUUUCGAGAGGAACAAGAAUGGGGCCCGCAUGCCAAAGAUCCACACCCAAAACCAGGGGCGCUCUGCCACAAUAAUCCAAAAUCUCUCAUAUUGUUCAUCAUCGUUAGAAACCUGCCAUUACGAAUCAUGAAUAGAUAGAAAAGCCGGAAAACAAUAUUUGGGGAGAACGAUUCAACCAUUCAACUUGAGAAUGUGGGAGCCCUGAGGUGAGGAAUAAAAUGCCGAGUCCGAUGCUUGGUUAUAUUCAAAUUACGCGGAGACUUUUCUGCUGGACUCAUCACGAGGUUUGGCACCAAUCGUUUGGAGUGGACGCUUGGAUGGUAUGCGAAGCUCUUUCAUCAACUCAAGCAUAUUCAAGAUAUGCAACCACAGAUAAAGUGAAGCUCAAAGUGACUCCAAUCAAACCUCCGAGUUCUUUA
Tigriopus californicus is the source of this 690-nucleotide long non-coding RNA. RefSeq lists it as uncharacterized. The transcript has 2 exons. The record is from RefSeq and is a predicted model, not a curated record. Lineage: Eukaryota; Metazoa; Arthropoda; Copepoda; Harpacticoida; Harpacticidae.